Molecule: ribosomal RNA, 253 nt
Filed under: uncultured bacterium
Lineage: Bacteria
Description: partial 16S ribosomal RNA
Rfam family: Bacterial small subunit ribosomal RNA
Source: RNAcentral
UACGUAGGGUGCAAGCGUUAAUCGGAAUUACUGGGCGUAAAGCGUGCGCAGGCGGUUCGUGAUGUCUGGUGUGGAAGCCCCGGGCUUAACCUGGGAAUUGCAUUGGAAACUAGCGGGCUGGAGUGUGGCAGAGGGGGGUGGAAUUCCACGUGUAGCAGUGAAAUGCGUAGAGAUGUGGAGGAACACCGAUGGCGAAGGCAGCCCCCUGGGCUAACACUGACGCUCAUGCACGAAAGCGUGGGGAGCAAACAGG